Non-coding RNA from Polypterus senegalus (gray bichir), 84 nucleotides. The record is from the annotation of a RefSeq genome assembly. Lineage: Eukaryota; Metazoa; Chordata; Cladistia; Polypteriformes; Polypteridae.
ACCAGAAUGGCCAAGGGGUUAAGCUGUUGGACUUAAGAUCCAAUGGGCAAAAUGCUCACGUGGGUUCAAUCCCCACUUCUGGUA